This 330-nucleotide ribosomal RNA is filed under the name uncultured Lachnospiraceae bacterium. Its description in RNAcentral is "bacterial SSU rRNA". It matches the Rfam family "Bacterial small subunit ribosomal RNA", at positions 28 to 339 of the family's 1533-position model. The record is from RNAcentral. Lineage: Bacteria; Bacillati; Bacillota; Clostridia; Lachnospirales; Lachnospiraceae.
GAUGAACGCUGGCGGCGUGCUUAACACAUGCAAGUCGAACGGAGUGUACUUUUAUUGAGGAUUCGUCUGAUUUAGCUGUACACUUAGUGGCGGACGGGUGAGUAACGCGUGGGUAACCUGCCUCAUACAGGGGGAUAGCAGCUGGAAACGGCUGAUAAAACCGCAUAAGCGCACGGUAUCGCAUGAUACAGUGUGAAAAACUCCGGUGGAAUGGGAUGGCCCUGCGUCUGAUUAGGCAGUUGGCGGGGUAACGGCCCACCAAACCGACGAUCAGUAGCCGACCUGAGAGGGUGACCGGCCACAUUGGGACUGAGACACGGCCCAAACUCC